AGUGAACGCUGGCGGUAGGCCUAACACAUGCAAGUCGAACGACAGCACAGUAAGAGCUUGCUCUUACGGGUGGCGAGUGGCGGACGGGUGAGGAAUACAUCGGCAUCUACUUUUUCGUGGGGGAUAACGUAGGGCAACUUACGCUAAUACCGCAUACGACCUACGGGUGAAAGCAGUGGAUCUUCGGACCUUGCGCGAUUGAAUGAGCCGAUGUCGAUUUAGCUAGUUGGCUGGGUAAGGGCCCACCAAGGCGACGCUCCGUAGCUGGUCUGAGAGGAUGAUCAGCAACACUGGAACUGAGACACGGUCCGGAUCCCAAGGGGAGGCAGCAGUGGGGAAUAUUGGACAAUGGGCGCAAGCCGGAUCCAGACAGACGGCGUGGGGGAAGAAGGCCUUCGGGUUGUAAAGCCCUUUUGUUGGGAAAGAAAAGCAGCAGGUUAAUACCGCGCUGUUCUGACGGUACCCAAAGAAUAAGCACCGGCUAACUUCGU
RNAcentral lists this ribosomal RNA (491 nucleotides) under uncultured bacterium. Its description in RNAcentral is "partial 16S ribosomal RNA". It matches the Rfam family "Bacterial small subunit ribosomal RNA", at positions 29 to 506 of the family's 1533-position model. The record is from RNAcentral.